This 497-nucleotide ribosomal RNA is filed under the name uncultured bacterium. Its description in RNAcentral is "partial 16S ribosomal RNA". It matches the Rfam family "Bacterial small subunit ribosomal RNA", at positions 28 to 507 of the family's 1533-position model. The record is from RNAcentral.
GAUGAACGCUGGCGGCGUGCCUAAUACAUGCAAGUCGAGCGAACGGACGAGAAGCUUGCUUCUCUGAUGUUAGCGGCGGACGGGUGAGUAACACGUGGAUAACCUACCUAUAAGACUGGGAUAACUUCGGGAAACCGGAGCUAAUACCGGAUGAUAUUUUGAACCGCAUGGUUCAAAAGUGAAAGACGGUCUUGCUGUCACUUAUAGAUGGAUCCGCGCUGCAUUAGCUAGUUGGUAAGGUAACGGCUUACCAAGGCCACGAUGCAUAGCCGACCUGAGAGGGUGAUCGGCCACACUGGAACUGAGACACGGUCCAGACUCCUACGGGAGGCAGCAGUAGGGAAUCUUCCGCAAUGGGCGAAAGCCUGACGGAGCAACGCCGCGUGAGUGAUGAAGGUCUUCGGAUCGUAAAACUCUGUUAUUAGGGAAGAACAUAUGUGUAAGUAACUGUGCACAUCUUGACGGUACCUAAUCAGAAAGCCACGGCUAACUACGUG